CAGCGCGGGGCAACCUGGCGGCGAGUGGCGAACGGGUGAGUAAUAUAUCGGAACGUACCCAGAAGUGGGGGAUAACGUAGCGAAAGUUACGCUAAUACCGCAUACGAUCUACGGAUGAAAGUGGGGGACCUUCGGGCCUCAUGCUUUUGGAGCGGCCGAUAUCUGAUUAGCUAGUUGGUANGGUAAAGGCUUACCAAGGCGACGAUCAGUAGCUGGUCUGAGAGGACGACCAGCCACACUGGAACUGAGACACGGUCCAGACUCCUACGGGAGGCAGCAGUGGGGAAUUUUGGACAAUGGGCGCAAGCCUGAUCCAGCAAUGCCGCGUGAGUGAAGAAGGCCUUCGGGUUGUAAAGCUCUUUUGUCAGGGAAGAAACGGCUGAGGUUAAUACCUUCGGCUAAUGACGGUACCUGAAGAUAAGCACCGG
This 428-nucleotide ribosomal RNA is filed under the name unidentified bacterium TMB808. RNAcentral's name for it is "bacterial SSU rRNA". It matches the Rfam family "Bacterial small subunit ribosomal RNA", at positions 70 to 496 of the family's 1533-position model. The record is from RNAcentral.